This 468-nucleotide ribosomal RNA is filed under the name uncultured bacterium. Its description in RNAcentral is "partial 16S ribosomal RNA". It matches the Rfam family "Bacterial small subunit ribosomal RNA", at positions 28 to 507 of the family's 1533-position model. The record is from RNAcentral.
GACGAACGCUGGCGGCGUGCUUAACACAUGCAAGUCGAACGGAAAGGCCCUGCUUUUGUGGGGUGCUCGAGUGGCGAACGGGUGAGUAACACGUGAGUAACCUGCCCUUGACUUUGGGAUAACUUCAGGAAACUGGGGGUAAUACCGGAUAGGAGCUCCUGCUGCAUGGUGGGGGUUGGAAAGUUUCGGCGGUUGGGGAUGGACUCGCGGCUUAUCAGCUUGUUGGUGGGGUAGUGGCUUACCAAGGCUUUGACGGGUAGCCGGCCUGAGAGGGUGACCGGCCACAUUAGGCCUGAGAUACGGCCCAGACUCCUACGGGAGGCAGCAGUGGGGAAUAUUGCACAAUGGGCGGAAGCCUGAUGCAGCAACGCCGCGUGCGGGAUGACGGCCUUCGAGUUGUAAACCGCUUUCGCCUGUGACGAAGCGUGAGUGACGGUAAUGGGUAAAGAAGCACCGGCUAACUACGUG